This 324-nucleotide ribosomal RNA is filed under the name uncultured bacterium. RNAcentral's name for it is "bacterial LSU rRNA". It matches the Rfam family "Bacterial large subunit ribosomal RNA", at positions 114 to 491 of the family's 2925-position model. The record is from RNAcentral.
CUGAAUGGGGAAACCCACCACUUUAUGUGGUACUUUAAACUGAAUACAUAGGUUUAAAGAGACAACCUGGAGAACUGAAACAUCUUAAGUAACCAGAGGAAAAGAAAUCAAUUGAGAUUCCGUUAGUAGUGGCGAGCGAACGCGGACUAGGCCAGUAAUUUUGUUAAAAAAAUUUGAAUAGUUUGGAAAUGCUAACCAUAGAGGGUGAUAGUCCCGUAUGAGUAAUAUUUAAUAAAAUUCUUGAGUAAAGCGGGACACGAGAAAUCCUGCUCGAAUAUAGGGGGACCACCCUCUAAGCCUAAAUACUCUUCAGUGACCGAUAGA